UUAAAUUGAAGAGUUUGAUCAUGGCUCAGAUUGAACGCUGGCGGCAGGCCUAAUACAUGCAAGUCGAACGGUAACAGGAAGCAGCUUGCUGCUU
Molecule: ribosomal RNA, 94 nt
Filed under: Escherichia coli
Lineage: Bacteria; Pseudomonadati; Pseudomonadota; Gammaproteobacteria; Enterobacterales; Enterobacteriaceae
Description: partial 16S ribosomal RNA
Rfam family: Bacterial small subunit ribosomal RNA
Source: RNAcentral